AGCAGCAGCCACGGGAAUACGAAGGGUGCAAGCGUUAAUCGGAAUUACUGGGCGUAAAGCGCACGUAGGCGGCUUGGUAAGUUAGAGGUGAAAGCCUGGAGCUCAACUCCAGAAUUGCCUUUAAGACUGCCGAGCUAGCAGGUGAGAGAGGUAAGUGGAAUUCCGAGUGUAGAGGUGAAAUUCGUAGAUAUUCGGAAGAACACCAGUGGCGAAGGCGGCUUACUGGCUCAUACUGGACGCUGAGGUGCGAAAGCGUGGGGAGCAAACAGGAUUAGAUACCCCUGUAGUCCCUGUCUCUUAUAC
RNAcentral lists this ribosomal RNA (303 nucleotides) under uncultured bacterium. RNAcentral describes it as "partial 16S ribosomal RNA". It matches the Rfam family "Bacterial small subunit ribosomal RNA", at positions 507 to 807 of the family's 1533-position model. The record is from RNAcentral.